UUGAAUUCUGCCAGAAAUCGAGCUUUGGUUGAUUUCGCAUAUUCUGGUUUCAUUCGUUUGGAAGUUGAUAUCCUUUAGCUUUCUUAUUCAAUUGAGCUUUAUAUUACUGCUUUGAAUUCUUGUAUGCUCUUGUCCUUAAAAUUAUUUACAUUCUUGAAAACUAUUGUGUAACAUUUAUGCUAUAUCGUAUUGACUCAUAUAGGCACAUGUGUAUCCCAUUGUUCCGCAUUUGCU
RNAcentral lists this long non-coding RNA (234 nucleotides) under Musa acuminata (dwarf banana). RNAcentral's name for it is "long non-coding RNA (MACU_LNC011062)". The record is from RNAcentral. Lineage: Eukaryota; Viridiplantae; Streptophyta; Magnoliopsida; Zingiberales; Musaceae.